AGAGUUUGAUCAUGGCUCAGAUUGAACGCUGGCGGAAUGCUUUACACAUGCAAGUCGAACGGCAGCAUAGGUGCUUGCACCUGAUGGCGAGUGGCGAACGGGUGAGUAAUACAUCGGAACGUGCCCAGUCGUGGGGGAUAACGUAGCGAAAGUUACGCUAAUACCGCAUACGAUCUACGGAUGAAAGCGGGGGACCGUAAGGCCUCGCGCGAUUGGAGCGGCCGAUGCCUGAUUAGCUAGUUGGUGGGGUAAAAGCCCACCAAGGCGACGAUCAGUAGCUGGUCUGAGAGGACGAUCAGCCACACUGGGACUGAGACACGGCCCAGACUCCUACGGGAGGCAGCAGUGGGGAAUUUUGGACAAUGGGGGCAACCCUGAUCCAGCAAUGCCGCGUGAGUGAAGAAGGCCUUCGGGUUGUAAAGCUCUUUUGUCAGGGAAGAAACACCGGCUCUAACACAGUCCGGGAAUGACGGUACCUGAAGAAUAAGCACCGGCUAACUACGUGCCAGCAGCCGCGGUAAU
This 522-nucleotide ribosomal RNA is filed under the name uncultured bacterium. Its description in RNAcentral is "bacterial SSU rRNA". It matches the Rfam family "Bacterial small subunit ribosomal RNA", at positions 8 to 524 of the family's 1533-position model. The record is from RNAcentral.